Molecule: long non-coding RNA, 292 nt
Organism: Mandrillus leucophaeus (drill)
Lineage: Eukaryota; Metazoa; Chordata; Mammalia; Primates; Cercopithecidae
Exons: 2
Source: RefSeq, a predicted model, not a curated record
GUCCAAGAUGAUGAUACUCCUACCCUGUCAACUACUCUCUUGUGAUUACCAUUUGCAUGGGAUAUCUUUUUCAUUCCUUCACUUUCAGCCUAUGUGUGUUCUUAAAUCUAAAGGACCUCAGCAACCUCAUUUCCACAGAGUUCUAGGGACUGCAUUGCCUCUGCACUCACUGAGAAGUUCACAUUCCCUAAAACAAGGAAUAUUGAAAACAUGAGUAUCCAUUUUGAUAGUCCAACCACCUUUAAGGACUACACCUUAAACUUACAAUUGGCCAGAAUAGAAAAUAAUGGUA